CCUACGGGUGGCAGCAGUGAGGAAUAUUGGUCAAUGGUCGGGAGACUGAACCAGCCAAGCCGCGUGAGGGAUGAAGGUACAGAGUAUCGUAAACCUCUUUUGUCAGGGAACAAAGGCGGGGACGUGUCCCCGGAUGAGUGUACCUGAAGAAAAAGCAUCGGCUAACUCCGUGCCAGCAGCCGCGGUAAUACGUAGGUGGCAAGCGUUGUCCGGAUUUACUGGGUGUAAAGGGCGUGCAGCCGGAGAGACAAGUCAGAUGUGAAAUCCACGGACUCAACCCGUGAACUGCAUUUGAAACUGUUUCCCUUGAGUGUCGGAGAGGUAAUCGGAAUUCCUUGUGUAGCGGUGAAAUGCGUAGAUAUAAGGAAGAACACCAGCGGCGAAGGCGGAUUACUGGACGAUAACUGACGGUGAGGCGCGAAAGCGUGGGGAGCAAACAGGAUUAGAUACCCGGGUAGUC
This 460-nucleotide ribosomal RNA is filed under the name uncultured bacterium. RNAcentral describes it as "partial 16S ribosomal RNA". It matches the Rfam family "Bacterial small subunit ribosomal RNA", at positions 338 to 795 of the family's 1533-position model. The record is from RNAcentral.